Long non-coding RNA from Brassica oleracea var. oleracea, 919 nucleotides. RefSeq lists it as uncharacterized. The transcript is spliced from 2 exons. Lineage: Eukaryota; Viridiplantae; Streptophyta; Magnoliopsida; Brassicales; Brassicaceae. The record is from RefSeq and is a predicted model, not a curated record.
CUUGAUUUAUGCUUGAUUUGUUUUGUUCAGGUUACUGUGUGUAUGAGAUUACAUCACACCAGCCUGCGUUUAAAGCUCCGGCAGUCCAAAGGAUAAGACAAGAAGAAGUUUACUGCCAGGCAAGUUUGCUAAGGAGAGAGAUUCAAUUUUGGACAACCUUUAUCCGUUUUGGACGAACGCUAUGACUGGACCUAGCAGCUCACCGCAAGCGGCAUCAUCCACAAAUGGAACAGAGGAGGAACUUGAAACUAAAAAAGAGUUGAUCCAAGCUGCAACACAUUGAGCUGUAAGUUAGACCAUGAGACUCUACGCUACACACUGUAGAAUCUCAGCUACGUAAUGUUGAUGUCAGGGUUGUGAGUGGACAAGAAGCUGAAACUCAGGAGGAAGUUCUGGAACCAAUGGAUGAGAGAAAGCUUUCCAUUUCGAGCUGAGGUCAAUGAAGCCAAGACGGUGAAACUAAGAGCCGAGUGAAAUGUCUUCAGUACUGUGUAAGUUUACGAAACUUGUUCCACCGCAGAGUAAAGAAAGAGCAGAUGCAUUGGAGUGUUUGUUGGAGAAAUGUGCAGGGCUCGGAAAGCAAGAGAAGUAUAAAACACUUGCUGGCUUGCUUACACCAUUUGGGGGAAGAAGGUGUUUCGGCUAGGGACAAGUGUCCCGGACACUGCUAUUUGUUUCGUAAAGACACUCUUGUCUUCUCACAAACUCAACCAAGGAACCUGAUCAAGUUUGAGUAUGAGCUCAAAACCAUUUUCUUAACUCUUCAAAUAUGGAAACUUUCCUUCUUUUUUCUCUAAUAAGUUUUCAAUUUAGCUUGUGAACAAUCUGUUGUCCUGUGAGAUUUAGAUUAAAUCCCUAAUUUCACUAAUACUAAGAAGGGAUGUAGAACCAGCUGUCAUAAAAGUCUAUCACACACUAA